Molecule: transfer-messenger RNA, 368 nt
Filed under: Spirochaetae bacterium HGW-Spirochaetae-3
Lineage: Bacteria; Pseudomonadati; Spirochaetota
Rfam family: transfer-messenger RNA
About the family: Bacterial tmRNA, also known as 10Sa RNA or SsrA, is named for its dual tRNA and mRNA-like properties. Its role is to liberate the mRNA from a stalled ribosome. To accomplish this part of the tmRNA is used as a reading frame that ends in a translation stop signal.
Source: RNAcentral
GGACGGCUUCGUGCUGGGCGGUUGCAUCAUCGAGGGUUCCGAGAGGCCGGCCGCGCGCGCUUGACCACGCGUCGCCGCGUCGCUAUCUUAUACUUUCAAUUGCCAACAACAACGGCAAUCUCGCUCUCGCCGCGUAAGCGCCGAUAGCGACGGACCCCGCGGUGCCCCGCUCUGAGCGCCGCGUACGGUCUGCAACCCGACCAGGGCUUACCCCCCGCCACGCCCGCGGGACGGGGGGGAAAUAUAGCGGGAUACGGAGGCGAUAGCGCGACGGCCCGCCGCCCGCCUCCCGACAACUUGAAUGGCCGCCUAAACCUGUAGAAGCCUUCCUUCCGCGUGUCAGGACGCGAGUUCGACUCUCGCCACCU